CAAAAAUUCUUAGUACAACAGUAAAACAUAAGAACACGCAAUACCUUCAAGACAAGUGGAAGAGAUAUUGACAUUUAUCGCUAUUCUGUAAUACUGUACUGUAUACUAUAAAUAUUCUUCAAACUAGAAGAAAGGUUGACGGUAAUCGUUGAUCAGGCUUUUUCCCCGAGGGAGUUAAAGAACUGUAUUAAGCGCUUCAUAAAACACGUUUUUAAAUUCGAUCUAAGAAAAUGCAUGCUGAGAGGACAGAGGAAGUUCGGUUUGAGAAUAUUUUUAGAAGCCCUUCGACAGGUUGCUCUUUCUGCUUAAGCGAACAUGGCGCGACCAUGCCCAAGAAAAAAAAAUUAUUUUA
Molecule: long non-coding RNA, 352 nt
Organism: Centruroides sculpturatus (bark scorpion)
Lineage: Eukaryota; Metazoa; Arthropoda; Arachnida; Scorpiones; Buthidae
Exons: 3
Source: RefSeq, a predicted model, not a curated record